RNAcentral lists this long non-coding RNA (324 nucleotides) under Elaeis guineensis (African oil palm). RNAcentral describes it as "long non-coding RNA (EGUI_LNC072729)". The record is from RNAcentral. Lineage: Eukaryota; Viridiplantae; Streptophyta; Magnoliopsida; Arecales; Arecaceae.
GUUGUCAUGGAGCAUCCGGUGAUGGCGCAUAUCUCCAACGCCAUCGCUGCCUCCGGGAUAACUCCGAUUCUUCUUGAAACAGGUCAUCGUCGUCGCCGCCAUUGUCCUUGCUGCCCCCUGGAAUCUAUCCCGUCCUUUUCCCCCUAGGGUUGGGAUUUCGGAGGUGGAGCGGAAUGAGGCAGGGGGCGAGAGCCGAGAGGCUUGUCACACGUGCUGGAAAAUGCUGCUGGGAAGGAUAGAAUCGGGAAGAGAAGUCUACAGCUCAAAGUAGCCUCCGGUGUGUUCCUUUCAAGUCUUGUAAUAAUGUUUUAUUUUUGGCCCUCC